Molecule: ribosomal RNA, 558 nt
Filed under: Triticum aestivum (bread wheat)
Lineage: Eukaryota; Viridiplantae; Streptophyta; Magnoliopsida; Poales; Poaceae
Description: partial small subunit ribosomal RNA
Source: RNAcentral
AGAGAUGAUCGUACUUAUGGAAACUCAGAUGCCUUGCACUGCUGCCGGAUCAAGGAUGGAGUGAACUAAAACACUUUGCUAUUACAACUAGCCCUCCCUGUUCCAUGAAUCGACAGGGGAAGAAUUGGCAAUGCUAAAUUGGUGAGAAGAGAGCAAGAGGAAGAUGAUGAGUUGACAUGGAAAAGCGACUUGCGAUAUGUUCAGCGGAUCACCAUGUCAAGGAAUGAGCAGUUAAAUAAGAGUCUUUUCGACAAAAGUAAGAGGGAGUAUUUCAUAACUGAACAUGUUUUAUGUACAAUCUGUUACUGACUGGCAUUGUGAAAAACGCAGAGAAAAAUGAAGCCUGAGGACGCUAUCAGCCUUUCCUGUCAAGUAUUGGCCACUACUAUCUGCAUUAGCUUCACCUCAGAACAUGCCCUUUUUCACUUGGAGAGAGGAAGUAGGAGUUCUCAGUGAUGAUCAUCUACAAGAUAUCAUACAUGUUUGUUGAUUGACUAACAAAGACAAAGGCCGUACCGUUAUUGAUGUUUCUAUAGCAUUGUUUCCAGCUGCUGUAAC